AGUGAGCCUUAGAAGAGUGGAAGCUAUUAAAUAGAGACUGAAGGCCUGCAGGAAAGGUCAGCAGAAUUCCAAUGAAGGAAAGACUGAGGAUGGAGUUUAACUGUGGGAAGAAUGUGAGGAGGAGUAACAAAGCUCCCUGUUGGAGGAAGAUAUCCUCUAGCUUUUUGCUGGAGAAGUGAGAGGGAUACCGUGAAGUUGAUACCUGGUGCAAUCUCGAGAUUCAGAAGGUAGAUUCAUCUCCCUACACCCUUUUUCCAUUUUGGCCUGCCCAGUCUCUGCAACAUAUCCAAUAUGGGAUUUGUUCACACUAUGCUUAGUGCCGUUAUGGGGAACCCCAGAAGUAUGACCAAAGGAAUCUAGAUGGAUGAUGAUACUGAGAAGGGGAAGAAACCUAAAUGUGUCUGGAGACCUCCCCCACUCAAAUGUGAAUAGGGUGUUUACACCUUUGUUGAUUAAUUCUAAAAAUGGACAGAUCUCCCCAUACCUGUAAGUAGGGUGUUUAGACAUUUUGUGAUUAAAUCUAAAAAUGGGUAGGGGUUAAAAUUUGAU
Molecule: long non-coding RNA, 549 nt
Filed under: Monodelphis domestica (gray short-tailed opossum)
Lineage: Eukaryota; Metazoa; Chordata; Mammalia; Didelphimorphia; Didelphidae
Description: lncRNA (ENSMODG00000038047.1)
Source: RNAcentral